UACAGAGGGCGCAAGCGUUGUUCGGAUUUACUGGGCGUAAAGGGCGUGUAGGCGGAGAUGCAAGUCGGGGGUGAAAGGCCAGGGCUCAACCCGGGACGGUCUUCCGAAACUGCAUCUCUCGAGAAAGUCAGAGGCAGGUGGAAUUCCAGGUGUAGAGGUGAAAUUCGUAGAGAUCUGGAGGAACACCGGCGGCGAAGGCGGCCUGCUGGGGCUUUUCUGACGCUGAGGCGCGAAAGCGUGGGGAGCAAACAGG
RNAcentral lists this ribosomal RNA (253 nucleotides) under uncultured bacterium. Its description in RNAcentral is "partial 16S ribosomal RNA". It matches the Rfam family "Bacterial small subunit ribosomal RNA", at positions 524 to 776 of the family's 1533-position model. The record is from RNAcentral.